Molecule: ribosomal RNA, 467 nt
Filed under: uncultured bacterium
Lineage: Bacteria
Description: partial 16S ribosomal RNA
Rfam family: Bacterial small subunit ribosomal RNA
Source: RNAcentral
GACGAACGCUGGCGGCGUGCUUAACACAUGCAAGUCGAACGGAAAGGCCCUGCUUUUGUGGGGUGCUCGAGUGGCGAACGGGUGAGUAACACGUGAGUAACCUGCCCUUGACUUUGGGAUAACUUCAGGAAACUGGGGCUAAUACCGGAUAGGAGCUCCUGCUGCAUGGUGGGGGUUGGAAAGUUUCGGCGGUUGGGGAUGGACUCGCGGCUUAUCAGCUUGUUGGUGGGGUAGUGGCUUACCAAGGCUUUGACGGGUAGCCGGCCUGAGAGGGUGACCGGCCACAUUGGGACUGAGAUACGGCCCAGACUCCUACGGGAGGCAGCAGUGGGGAAUAUGGCACAAUGGGCGGAAGCCUGAGGCAGCAACGCCGCGUGCGGGAUGACGGCCUUCGGGUUGUAAACCGCUUUCGCCUGUGACGAAGCGUGAGUGACGGUAAUGGGGAAAGAAGCACCGGCUAACUACGU